Molecule: non-coding RNA, 128 nt
Organism: Hortaea werneckii EXF-2000
Lineage: Eukaryota; Fungi; Ascomycota; Dothideomycetes; Mycosphaerellales; Teratosphaeriaceae
Source: Rfam
GCUGUGGUGGCGGAGUGGUUAACGCGCCAGACUUGAAUCACGUGAUUGCUGCUAUUGCUGCGGUCCGUACAUCAUGUUUCAGUCAUCUGGUACCUUCGGGUGCGCAAGUUCGAAUCUUGUCCGCAGCG